RNAcentral lists this non-coding RNA (171 nucleotides) under Oscillochloris sp. RNAcentral describes it as "6S RNA". It matches the Rfam family "6S / SsrS RNA". From Rfam's summary of the family: E. coli 6S RNA was the first non coding RNA to be sequenced, but its function was unknown until recently. It consists of 184 nucleotides that fold into an extended hairpin structure with a large single-stranded internal bulge. The record is from RNAcentral. Lineage: Bacteria; Bacillati; Chloroflexota; Chloroflexia; Chloroflexales; Oscillochloridaceae.
CUCUACCCUGGCUGUAUGUGUGGCGGGUACGUGUUUUGAGCCAACACGGUUUCGAUGGGAGCUUCGCUCUUAUGAGCUGAGCUAUGCGGCGGGCCGCAGACGCUCACAGGCGGGCACCCCCCUGCACGCGCAGGUUCGAAACUGGCCCGCCCACGGCAGCUAGGGCACCAU